UAGGGAAUAUUGGGCAAUGGAGGCAACUCUGACCCAGCAACGCCGCGUGAAUGAUGAAGGUUUUCGGAUUGUAAAGUUCUGUAACAGAGGACGAAGAAAUGACGGUACUCUGGAAGUAAGCCCCGGCUAACUAUGUGCCAGCAGCCGCGGUAAUACAUAGGGGGCAAGCGUUGUCCGGAAUGACUGGGUGUAAAGGGUGCGUAGGUGGCUGCGUAAGUUAGAAGUGAAAUCCCAAGGCUUAACCUUGGAGCUGCUUCUAAGACUGCGCGGCUAGAGUGCAGGAGAGAAAAGUGGAAUUCCUAGUGUAGCGGUGGAAUGCGUAGAUAUUAGGAGGAACACCAGAGGCGAAGGCGACUUUUUGGACUGUAACUGACACUGAAGCACGAAAGCGUGGGGAGCAAACA
Molecule: ribosomal RNA, 404 nt
Filed under: uncultured Bacillota bacterium
Lineage: Bacteria; Bacillati; Bacillota
Description: uncultured Firmicutes bacterium partial 16S ribosomal RNA
Rfam family: Bacterial small subunit ribosomal RNA
Source: RNAcentral